Molecule: non-coding RNA, 428 nt
Filed under: Pan troglodytes (chimpanzee)
Lineage: Eukaryota; Metazoa; Chordata; Mammalia; Primates; Hominidae
Source: RNAcentral
CACCAUGCCAAGGCUGAGGACCAGAUACACCAUGCCGAGGCUGAGGACCAGAUACACCAUGCCGAGGCUGAGGACCAGAUACACCAUGCCGAGGCUGAGGACCAGAUACACCAUGCCGAGGCUGAGGACCAGAUACACUAUGCCGAGGCUGAGGACCAGAUACAUCUCCUUCCUGUCUUCAGGGCAAUGAAUGAAGGAGAAGGAAAGUAGUUCUCAGGAAGUUUAUGAAUUUUUGUUUUCCAAAAGCUUUACUCAUAAAUAAGUAGAUUUUAAACCAAGAAAUCAUUCACUGCUGAAAGGAGUAUCAGCAACUUUCAAGAAGGGCAAUUAGGUCGUAUCUAUCAAAAGACAAACGACAAAUGCUUAUAGCUGUGGCCCAGCUUUUCUAAUUCUGGGAAUUAUCUCACAGUAAAUAUAGAUGUUAUUCA